This 520-nucleotide ribosomal RNA is filed under the name Fusarium keratoplasticum. RNAcentral describes it as "partial large subunit ribosomal RNA". The record is from RNAcentral. Lineage: Eukaryota; Fungi; Ascomycota; Sordariomycetes; Hypocreales; Nectriaceae.
CAGUAACGGCGAGUGAAGCGGCMACAGCUCAAAUUUGAAAUCUGGCUCUCGGGCCCGAGUUGUAAUUUGUAGAGGAUGCUUUUGGUGAGGUGCCUUCCGAGUUCCCUGGAACGGGACGCCAUAGAGGGUGAGAGCCCCGUCUGGUUGGACACCGAUCCUCUGUAAAGCUCCUUCGACGAGUCGAGUAGUUUGGGAAUGCUGCUCUAAAUGGGAGGUAUAUGUCUUCUAAAGCUAAAUACCGGCCAGAGACCGAUAGCGCACAAGUAGAGUGAUCGAAAGAUGAAAAGAACUUUGAAAAGAGAGUUAAACAGUACGUGAAAUUGUUGAAAGGGAAGCGCUUGUGACCAGACUUGGGCUUGGUUGAUCAUCCGGGGUUCUCCCCGGUGCACUCUUCCGGCUCAGGCCAGCAUCAGUUCGCCCUGGGGGACAAAGGCUUCGGGAAUGUGGCUCUCUCCGGGGAGUGUUAUAGCCCGUUGCGUAAUACCCUGUGGCGGACUGAGGUUCGCGCAUUCGCAAGGAU